AAAAAACCUCACCUUUUUCAAAACUUUGUUUUCGCCAUACGCCGCCACCACCAUGAUUGAAUUUGUCAACCAAUUUACCUUUCCCCAACUCCACCAUCAACUGUGUCACCGUCGAUUAUUUCCCUUCCCCCUCUACCAUCAACCAAGGCACACUUCUCCAUCUAUUCCCCAAACGUUGUUGUUUGCCUCCCCAAAUACCGCAACAUUUCUCCAACCUUAAAACGUCAUCGUUCACAUCUUCUCCCUACCAUUGUCACACCUUCAUACAACAACAACCACCAAUCUCGAAAUACCAAAACCCGCACCACCCACUGUCACACAGCUAAAUUUUAGAACACUGCCACGUCACCCCAAAAGCUAAACGCCGAGACUACCCAAACACCAAAAACCACCACUGUGAACCACCGCUGUAAACCGUCGCAACAAAUGCCAUCACUUACUUUUCAACUAAAAUGUCAGCCAUGGUUCGAACUAGAAAUCAAGUGGUUGAUGGUUUCUCGGCUUCACGUAAUCGAGAUCGAAAUUGAUUUUCGACA
RNAcentral lists this long non-coding RNA (536 nucleotides) under Gossypium raimondii (Peruvian cotton). RNAcentral's name for it is "long non-coding RNA (GRAI_LNC004594)". The record is from RNAcentral. Lineage: Eukaryota; Viridiplantae; Streptophyta; Magnoliopsida; Malvales; Malvaceae.